ACCUGGUUGAUCCUGCCAGUAGUCAUAUGCUUGUCUUAAAGAUUAAGCCAUGCAUGUCUCAGUAUAAGCUUUUUUACUGCAAAACUGCGAAUGGCUCAUUAAAACAGUUAUAGUUUCCUUGACAGCCAAUUAUUACUUGGAUACCUAUGGUAAUUCUAGAGCUAAUACAUGCUUAAAGACCCAACUUCUCGGAAGGGUUGUGCUUAUUAGAUACUGAACCAACCCGGGUUCUCCCGGUUUUGAGUUGAUUCAUAGUAUUCCAGCGAAUCGUCCUCGUUAGACGAUGAGUCUUUCAAGUUUCUGACCUAUCAGCUUCCGACGGUAGGGUAUUGGCCUACCGUGGCAUUGACGGGUAACGGAGAAUUAGGGUUCGGUUCCGGAGAGGGAGCCUGAGAAACGGCUACCACAUCUAAGGAAGGCAGCAGGCGCGUAAAUUACCCAAUCCUGACACAGGGAGGUAGUGACAAGAAAUACCAAUAUAAGGCUUAUAUGUCUUGUAAUUGGGAUGAGUAUAAUUUAAACCGCAUUACGAGUAUCAAUUGGAGGGCAAGUCUGGUGCCAGCAGCCGCGGUAAUUCCAGCUCCAAUAGCGUAUAUUAAAAUUGUUGCGGUUAAAACGCUCGUAGUUGGAUAUUUGUCAAGGACUGCCGGUCUACCCUAGUGGUCAGCACUCGGUAUUAUUUGGCAUUUUCCUGGAGACAGUGUUCGUACUUUAUUGUAUGGCACAUGAACCAGAACUUUUACUUUGAGGAAAUGAGAGUGUUUCAAGCAGGCGUACGUCGUGAAUACGUUAGCAUGGAAUAAUAGCAUAGGACCCCGGUCUGAAGCUGUUGGUUUUUGGGCCGAGGUAAUGAAAAUAGGGAUAGUUGGGGGCAUUCGUAUUUAACUGUCAGAGGUGAAAUUCUUGGAUUUUUUAAAGACGGACUACUGCGAAAGCAUCUGCCCAGGAUGUUUUUAUUAAUCAAGAACGAAAGUUAGGGGAUCGAAGACGAUCAGAUACCGUCCUAGUCUUAACCUUAAACAAUGCCGACUAGAGAUUGGGGUCGUCAGCACUUUGACGCCUUCAGCAACUUGAGAGAAAUCAAAGUCUUUGGGUUCCGGGGGGAGUAUGGUCGCAAGGCUGAAACUUAAA
Molecule: ribosomal RNA, 1131 nt
Filed under: uncultured marine Syndiniales
Lineage: Eukaryota; Dinophyceae; Syndiniales
Description: SSU rRNA
Rfam family: Eukaryotic small subunit ribosomal RNA
Source: RNAcentral